Molecule: long non-coding RNA, 430 nt
Filed under: Junco hyemalis (dark-eyed junco)
Lineage: Eukaryota; Metazoa; Chordata; Aves; Passeriformes; Passerellidae
Description: lncRNA (ENSJHYG00000002567.1)
Source: RNAcentral
GGACACAGGAACAGCUUCAGCUGGCUUGGAGAAGCAGCCAGAAGCAGCAGUUCAUCUGAUCAAUGGCCAGGUGGAAUGACUUUCAGUGUCUAGCAGUGUGAACUAGAGAUGAACUGCUCUUCUGGAGGGUAAAGGUUGGCUUCUAUUUUCUCUCAGGUGCAACUAAAGUUUCCUAAGGCAAGAAACGGAAAAAGAAUCAGCAACAUCUGGAGUUAUCUAUGCUUCUGCCAAAUAAAACGAACACGUCUGAAGAGGGCUGUUACUCAGAAUAAAAAGGGAAGUGAUGACUAAUAAGGAAAUGCAAUUUACCAAAAAUAUCUCAUUUUGCCUUUUCUUAAAUAUAUCAGUCUUGUAAGUCUCCUUGACCACCUAAAAGUCCUGCUUGGAUGGUGCGAGAGUAAGAUUUGUCCAGAAAGAACAAAUAUUUGGC